GCGCACGCUGGCGGCAGGCUUAACACAUGCAAGUCGAGCGGGCCCUUCGGGGUCAGCGGCAGACGGGUGAGUAACACGUGGGAACGUACCCUUUGGUUCGGAAUAACGCUGGGAAACUAGCGCUAAUACCGGAUACGCCCUUUUGGGGAAAGGCUUGCUGCCGAAGGAUCGGCCCGCGUCUGAUUAGCUAGUUGGUGGGGUAAUGGCCUACCAAGGCGACGAUCAGUAGCUGGUCUGAGAGGAUGAUCAGACACACUGGGACUGAGACACGGCCCAGACUCCUACGGGAGGCAGCAGUGGGGAAUAUUGGACAAUGGGCGCAAGCCUGAUCCAGCCAUGCCGCGUGAGUGAUGAAGGCCUUAGGGUUGUAAAGCUCUUUUGUCCGGGACGAUAAUGACGGUACCGGAAGAAUAAGCCCCGGCUAACUUCGUG
Molecule: ribosomal RNA, 432 nt
Filed under: uncultured bacterium
Lineage: Bacteria
Description: partial 16S ribosomal RNA
Rfam family: Bacterial small subunit ribosomal RNA
Source: RNAcentral